This 416-nucleotide ribosomal RNA is filed under the name uncultured bacterium. Its description in RNAcentral is "bacterial SSU rRNA". It matches the Rfam family "Bacterial small subunit ribosomal RNA", at positions 29 to 429 of the family's 1533-position model. The record is from RNAcentral.
AACGAACGCUGGCGGCGUGGAUAAGACAUGCAAGUCGAACGGGAUAACAUCUGUAGCAAUACAGGUGUUAUUUAGUGGCGAACGGGUGCGUAACACGUGGGCAAUCUGCCGAGAAGUGGGGGAUAGCUCGCCGAAAGGCGAAUUAAUACCGCAUAUGAUCAGUGAAGACAUCUUCACGACAUCAAAGCCGGGGCAACCUGGCGCUUCUUGAUGAGCCCCGCGGCCUAUCAGCUAGUUGGUGAGGUAACGGCUCACCAAGGCUAUGACGGGUAGCUGGUCUGAGAGGACGACCAGUCACACUGGAACUGAGACACGGUCCAGACACCUACGGGUGGCAGCAGUCGAGAAUUUUUCUCAAUGGGGGCAACCCUGAAGGAGCGACGCCGCGUGGAGGAUGAAGGCUUUCGGGUUGUAAA